This 247-nucleotide unclassified non-coding RNA is filed under the name Ambisporaceae sp. Its description in RNAcentral is "partial internal transcribed spacer 2". Lineage: Eukaryota; Fungi; Glomeromycota; Glomeromycetes; Archaeosporales; Ambisporaceae. The record is from RNAcentral.
GUGAAUCAUCAAAUUUUUGAACGCAUAUUGCACUCUCUGCGAUUCGUGAGCGUAUGUCUAUUUGAGGCUAAUAAGAAAUAAUAUAAAUUCCAAUUUUUGUCGGCAUUUAAAAUGGGUUGUCCAUUUUUUGUGCUCGCCUAUUUUACAAGAUAAGCUCUUUUUCUUGGGUUCCGUGAUACUUUCAGUUACUUCGUGAUUUAACUUGGAAUCAUCGGGCGUGUUAUUAAUUUUGCACGAGAUAAAAAAU